RNAcentral lists this ribosomal RNA (402 nucleotides) under uncultured bacterium. Its description in RNAcentral is "partial 16S ribosomal RNA". It matches the Rfam family "Bacterial small subunit ribosomal RNA", at positions 355 to 774 of the family's 1533-position model. RNAcentral also lists the same sequence under 1 other name. The record is from RNAcentral.
UGGGGAAUAUUGGACAAUGGGCGCAAGCCUGAUCCAGCCAUGCCGCGUGAGUGAUGAAGGCCUUAGGGUUGUAAAGCUCUUUCGCCAGGGACGAUAAUGACGGUACCUGGAUAAGAAGCCCCGGCUAACUUCGUGCCAGCAGCCGCGGUAAUACGAAGGGGGCUAGCGUUGUUCGGAAUCACUGGGCGUAAAGCGCACGUAGGCGGACAAUUAAGUCAGGGGUGAAAGCCUGGGGCUCAACCUCAGAAUUGCCCUUGAUACUGGUUGUCUAGAGUCCGGUAGAGGUGAGUGGAACUGCUAGUGUAGAGGUGAAAUUCGUAGAUAUUAGCAAGAACACCAGUGGCGAAGGCGGCUCACUGGACCGGUACUGACGCUGAGGUGCGAAAGCGUGGGGAGCAAACA